This 533-nucleotide transfer RNA is filed under the name uncultured cyanobacterium. Its description in RNAcentral is "partial 16S-23S intergenic spacer". The stretch from base 204 to 276 matches the Rfam family "tRNA". The record is from RNAcentral. Lineage: Bacteria; Bacillati; Cyanobacteriota.
AGACAACAAAAUGUUUUAUAUUAUUUUGUCACCUUAGGUCGAUCGGUAUCUCACUUUUUUAAUUUAUUAAGAAAUUCAUUUCCUAAGUUUUUCUAGGUCACACCCAUUAUUUUUCCUGGGCCAUUAGCUCAGGUGGUUAGAGCGCACCCCUGAUAAGGGUGAGGUCCCUGGUUCAAGUCCAGGAUGGCCCAUAUCUCUAUGUUGGGGGUAUAGCUCAGUUGGUAGAGCGCCUGCUUUGCAAGCAGGAUGUCAGCGGUUCGAGUCCGCUUACCUCCACUGAUUACCACCUCUUCCAUAACCGGUAGAAAGGAAAUGUUUUGAGUUGUGAUCAAAUCCUGAAAGAAUCUAGCUUCCUAAUGAAAUCAUUAAGAUGCUGGACUCAUUGAAUUAACUUCAUUGUUUUCAGAGAACCUUGACAACUGCAUAGAUUAUUUUUAAAGACAAUAAGCAUCUUUAAUGAUGCAGAUUUAUUAUUUGUGCAAAUGCAUUAAUAACAAUUCUAUUAAGCUGAUGCUUCAAUUUUUGAAGUUAUU